Paramisgurnus dabryanus is the source of this 1659-nucleotide non-coding RNA. The record is from RefSeq and is a predicted model, not a curated record. NCBI's taxonomy places the organism in Eukaryota, Metazoa, Chordata, Actinopteri, Cypriniformes, Cobitidae.
GUAAACGCAAUUCCGGUAUAAGCUUUGUUGUUGGUGGAGAAAUGGCAGCUAGAGUGUUUCCGACUUUCCUAACUUGUCUACCGAAGUUCACCAGCGCCGAUGUGGUGAAGAGUGUGGGUAUACACUCGUCCACUAAAGGGAACAAACUGGAUAAGGGAUAUAAAUUCUUCCGCGCGGAGUUUAUCCACAAUUAUCAAGUCAUUCGUAUAAAGGACCAACAUGGACCAGUAUUUAUUUCAUGCUGCCCUUCGGCAGUACCUACUAAGUGGGAUGUCGAUGUCGCGGUUGACUGGAAGAGAGUCAUGCAGGUGGCCAACCACUUCGUUGUAGAUGAUUUGUCCGUGCUGAUGGCCAUGCAGCAUAGUUGAAGCAGACCUGUCAGAAAACAUCUCUAAGGUGCUAUGAAUCCUAUGACUAGAUACGCAUCCUAAAAUUACUAGAGGUUACGGAAGCUCCUUUUUGGAUCCAGCUUCAUUUGUGAAGACUUCAGAUGAUGCCAACACUCACAGAGACUUAAGACGAUGGCAACAAUAGAUGAAGCAACACUCACAAAGACUUUAGAUGAUGGCAACUAUAGAUGGACAUACAAAAUUGCCAAACAUAAUAUUGUAAUUACUGCCCCAAAGCGCAAGUUUGCAGAUUUUUAACCCACUUUAUAUUGUUACAAAUACAAUAGAUGCUAACAUUUGAACAGAAAAUGUUUCCUCUUUAUUCUUGAGUUAAUUGUGCUGAUUUAUUCCCAUUUUUUUUAUCCACAAUACUUUGCCAAAAUGAUGUUUUGCAUCAUCCAAAUGGUUCAUUUACAAAUUACAGACAUCGUAACAACACAAAGUGGGUUAUAAUUCUGCCAACUUACCCUAUAAUAAUAAUAAUUGUCUUUUAACUGAACAUGACUUUAAAGACAUGACCUGUAUUAUCUUAGAGCUAUUGUGAAAUUAAUAUUGGUUAUGUAUCCAGAAUAUUCUCCUCAGUGAGUCACUGUUACCUCGGACUGAUUAAGCGAUUUUUUGUAACCUUGAAACAUUGGUUUUACUAUGGUCAAACUGCAGAUCUUAUUUCAAACCAAGGUUUUGUUACCAUGGUUCUACUACAGUAACAUUAUAGUAAUGCUGGAGUGAAACAGUGAAUAUGGUAACCAUAUUAUUUUAAAUCAUGGUAAAGUUUGUGGUUACUAAAAUGCACUACUAUAUGCUGGUUUAAGAGCAUGAUUAUUUUUUAUUUAUUAAUAAACCAUGGUUGAUUUUAUAUUUACCGUGGUUUUACUGCAAAUUAUGGUAAAAAAAUUAUAGAUAACUUUUGCAUGGGUACAGAAAAAAAGUGUAAACUGAAUGUUUCUAUUUGUAAGUCACGUUGGUUAAAUGCAUCUGAAAAAUGUAAAUGGAUUUGUAUAUUUAUUCUGUUUACUGAAAAUAAUAAAUUUGCAGUUGCUAUUGUAUAUUGUUUAUUAUUGUGUUGAAAGACAUUUUGGUUAGAGUGAUUAAACGAUUAUAAACCAUGAGCCGCUGUGUGUUAGCUGGGACGCGGUUUUGGAUAAUUGCCAAAAAGUCUUCAUUUAAAUAUGUUUAAAAAGAGUCUUUAUUAACUACACAAAAGUGUAGCCUAGAAAAAUACGCUGCCAGUUGUUAUGCUUAGCCGUAAAGUGUUUCAACGCAUGCGUGA